GAAGCUGGAAUUGCUAGUAAUGGCAGGUCAGCAUACUGCCGUGAAUACGUUCCCGGGCCCUUGUACACACCGCCCGUCACACCAUGAGAGUCGGAAAUGCCCGAAGUCUGUGACCCAACCGAAAGGAGGGAGCAGCCGAAGGCAGGUCGGAUGACUGGGGUGAAGUCGUAACAAGGUAUC
Molecule: ribosomal RNA, 180 nt
Filed under: uncultured bacterium
Lineage: Bacteria
Description: partial 16S ribosomal RNA
Rfam family: Bacterial small subunit ribosomal RNA
Source: RNAcentral